RNAcentral lists this ribosomal RNA (510 nucleotides) under uncultured bacterium. RNAcentral's name for it is "partial 16S ribosomal RNA". It matches the Rfam family "Bacterial small subunit ribosomal RNA", at positions 28 to 507 of the family's 1533-position model. The record is from RNAcentral.
GACGAACGCUGGCGGCGUGCUUAACACAUGCAAGUCGAACGAAGAGCGAUGGAAGCUUGCUUCUAUCAAUCUUAGUGGCGAACGGGUGAGUAACGCGUAAUCAACCUGCCCUUCAGAGGGGGACAACAGUUGGAAACGACUGCUAAUACCGCAUACGAUCUGACCUCGGCAUCGAGGAUAGAUGAAAGGUGGCCUCUACAUGUAAGCUAUCACUGAAGGAGGGGAUUGCGUCUGAUUAGCUAGUUGGAGGGGUAACGGCCCACCAAGGCGAAGAUCAGUAGCCGGUCUGAGAGGAUGAACGGCCACAUUGGGACUGAGACACGGCCCAGACUCCUACGGGAGGCAGCAGUGGGGAAUCUUCCGCAAUGGACGAAAGUCUGACGGAGCAACGCCGCGUGAGUGAUGACGGCCUUCGGGUUGUAAAGCUCUGUUAAUCGGGACGAAAGGCCUUUUUGCGAAUAGUGAGAAGGAUUGACGGUACCGGAAUAGAAAGCCACGGCUAACUACGUG